GGGGAAUAUUGGACAAUGGGGGCAACCCUGAUCCAGCCAUGCCGCGUGUGUGAGGAAGGCCUGCGGGUUGUAAAGCACUUUUAGUGGGGAAGAUAAUGACGUUACCCACAGAAAAAGCACCGGCUAACUCCGUGCCAGCAGCCGCGGUAAUACGGAGGGUGCAAGCGUUAAUCGGAAUUACUGGGCGUAAAGCGUGCGUAGGCGGCUCUUUAAGUCGGAUGUGAAAUCCCCGGGCUCAACCUGGGAACUGCAUCCGAUACUGGGGAGCUAGAAUGUGGGAGAGGGAAGUGGAAUUUCCGGUGUAGCGGUGAAAUGCAUAGAGAUCGGAAGGAACAUCAGUGGCGAAGGCGACUUCCUGGACCAACAGUGACGCUGAGGCACGAAAGCGUGGGUAGCAAAC
This 400-nucleotide ribosomal RNA is filed under the name uncultured bacterium. RNAcentral's name for it is "bacterial SSU rRNA". It matches the Rfam family "Bacterial small subunit ribosomal RNA", at positions 356 to 773 of the family's 1533-position model. The record is from RNAcentral.